Molecule: transfer RNA, 69 nt
Filed under: Sula dactylatra (masked booby)
Lineage: Eukaryota; Metazoa; Chordata; Aves; Suliformes; Sulidae
Rfam family: tRNA
About the family: Transfer RNA (tRNA) molecules are approximately 80 nucleotides in length. Their secondary structure includes four short double-helical elements and three loops (D, anti-codon, and T loops). Further hydrogen bonds mediate the characteristic L-shaped molecular structure. tRNAs have two regions of fundamental functional importance: the anti-codon, which is responsible for specific mRNA codon recognition, and the 3' end, to which the tRNAs corresponding amino acid is attached (by aminoacyl-tRNA synthetases). tRNAs cope with the degeneracy of the genetic code in two manners: having more than one tRNA (with a specific anti-codon) for a particular amino acid; and 'wobble' base-pairing, i.e. permitting non-standard base-pairing at the 3rd anti-codon position.
Source: Rfam by way of RNAcentral
GCUCUUCUAGUAUACUCAUUACAAUUGACUUCCAAUCUCUAGAAUCUGGCUCAAAUCCAGAGAAGAGCA